UACAGAGGUGCCAAGCGUUGUUCGGAUUUACUGGGCGUAAAGGGUGCGUAGGCGGUCGCGCAAGUCGGACGUGAAAUCCCGGGGCCUAACCCCGGAACGGCGUUCGAAACUGCGCGGCUGGAGGUCUGGAGAGGUGACUGGAAUUCUCGGUGUAGCAGUGAAAUGCGUAGAUAUCGAGAGGAACACCAGAGGCGAAAGCGGGUCACUGGACAGAACCUGACGCUGAGGCACGAAAGCCAGGGGAG
Molecule: ribosomal RNA, 245 nt
Filed under: uncultured bacterium
Lineage: Bacteria
Description: partial 16S ribosomal RNA
Rfam family: Bacterial small subunit ribosomal RNA
Source: RNAcentral